AUGGAGAAGAAGGAUCUGCUCGGCGCCCGGACGAAGCCGGCGGCAGGGAAGCGGCGGCGCAAGGUGGCGGCUGGCCCGGGACUCGCCAAGGCGAUCGCCGAGUACCUCGCGUCCGACUCCUAUAUGUACGCGCCGCUGGUCUCAGAACCUCAGGAGCCGCCUCCGCCGCCGCCGCCCGCGGCUGCGCCUGCGACAAGUACUCCUGCUUCUGCAGAGAAAGGAGCAGCUCUGGUGCAAAAAUACAGAGGCUCUUGGCGUGGUACAUUUGCUGCCUGCUAG
RNAcentral lists this ribosomal RNA (279 nucleotides) under Triticum aestivum (bread wheat). Its description in RNAcentral is "partial small subunit ribosomal RNA". Lineage: Eukaryota; Viridiplantae; Streptophyta; Magnoliopsida; Poales; Poaceae. The record is from RNAcentral.